UACGGGGGGGGCAAGCGUUGUUCGGAAUUACUGGGCGUAAAGGGCGCGUAGGCGGUUCGUUAAGUUAGAUGUGAAAACUCUGGGCUCAACCCAGAGCCUGCAUCUAAUACUGACGGGCUAGAGUUCUGGAGGGGGUAGCGGAAUUCCUGGUGUAGCGGUGAAAUGCGUAGAUAUCAGGAGGAACACCGGUGGCGAAGGCGGCUACCUGGACAGAAACUGACGCUGAGGCGCGAAAGCUAGGGGAGCAAACAGG
Molecule: ribosomal RNA, 253 nt
Filed under: uncultured bacterium
Lineage: Bacteria
Description: partial 16S ribosomal RNA
Rfam family: Bacterial small subunit ribosomal RNA
Source: RNAcentral